GAGUGGACUCCUACGGGAGGCAGCAGUAGGGAAUAUUGCGCAAUGGGGGAAACCCUGACGCAGCAACGCCGCGUGGAGGAUGACACUUUUCGGAGCGUAAACUCCUUUUGUUAGGGAAGAAUAAUGACGGUACCUAACGAAUAAGCACCGGCUAACUCCGUGCCAGCAGCCGCGGUAAUACGGAGGGUGCAAGCGUUACUCGGAAUCACUGGGCGUAAAGGACGCGUAGGCGGAUUAUCAAGUCUCUUGUGAAAUCUAGUGGCUUAACCACUAAACUGCUUGGGAAACUGAUAAUCUAGAGUAAGGGAGAGGCAGAUGGAAUUCUUGGUGUAGGGGUAAAAUCCGUAGAGAUCAAGAAGAAUACUUAUUGCGAAGGCGAUCUGCUAGAACUUAACUGACGCUAAUGCGUGAAAGCGUGGGGAGCAAACAGGAUUAGAUACCCUUGUAGUCCGA
RNAcentral lists this ribosomal RNA (453 nucleotides) under uncultured bacterium. Its description in RNAcentral is "bacterial SSU rRNA". It matches the Rfam family "Bacterial small subunit ribosomal RNA", at positions 329 to 798 of the family's 1533-position model. The record is from RNAcentral.